UUCUAGGGACGAAAGAGCAGACAGAGGUUUUUAUAAAGCUCCGGGGAGAGAACGAUGAGCUCUUCACCGGAGCAAAGAACUCUGCAACUGUGGGAUGGAGGAUAGUUUUGGAGAAGAUGGGCCUGUCUGGUAAAGUGACACCAGCCCAAGCAAAGAAAAAGAAUGCAAGUAUCCAGGGUCAGGAGAGGGAGUAAGUGGGAAGCCCACUGCUGCUACUUGGCCCUGGUUUCUCCAAAUGGAUGAGGUUUUAGGACAAAGGCCUUCAAGUUGCCCCCUGUCCUUAUUGCCUCCAUCCCUAUGGACACUUCAGGGCCAAGUGCAGCAGUGAGUGACCAAGAGGAGAGAGAGGAAGAAGAGAGGGAAGGAGGUAGGCAGCCAGCAGCGAAGAAGAGGA
Carassius gibelio (silver crucian carp) is the source of this 394-nucleotide long non-coding RNA. RefSeq lists it as uncharacterized. Lineage: Eukaryota; Metazoa; Chordata; Actinopteri; Cypriniformes; Cyprinidae. The record is from RefSeq and is a predicted model, not a curated record. The transcript has 3 exons.